AUUGAACGCUGGCGGCAGGCCUAACACAUGCAAGUCGAGCGGAUGAAGGGAGCUUGCUCCUGGAUUCAGCGGCGGACGGGUGAGUAAUGCCUAGGAAUCUGCCUGGUAGUGGGGGAUAACGUCCGGAAACGGGCGCUAAUACCGCAUACGUCCUGAGGGAGAAAGUGGGGGAUCUUCGGACCUCACGCUAUCAGAUGAGCCUAGGUCGGAUUAGCUAGUUGGUGGGGUAAAGGCCUACCAAGGCGACGAUCCGUAACUGGUCUGAGAGGAUGAUCAGUCACACUGGAACUGGGACACGUCCCAACCUCCUACGGGGGGCAGCGGGGGGGAAUAUUGGACAAUGGGCCAAAGCAUGAUCCAGCCAUGCCGGGGGUGUGAAGAAGGUCUUCGGAUUUUAAAGCCCUUUAAGUUGGGAGGAAGGGCAGUAAGUUAAUACCUGGCUGUUUUGGCGUUACCAACAAAAUAAGCACCGGCUAACUUCGU
RNAcentral lists this ribosomal RNA (483 nucleotides) under uncultured bacterium. Its description in RNAcentral is "partial 16S ribosomal RNA". It matches the Rfam family "Bacterial small subunit ribosomal RNA", at positions 30 to 506 of the family's 1533-position model. The record is from RNAcentral.